RNAcentral lists this small RNA (1035 nucleotides) under Pan troglodytes (chimpanzee). RNAcentral describes it as "retained intron". The record is from RNAcentral. Lineage: Eukaryota; Metazoa; Chordata; Mammalia; Primates; Hominidae.
GUAUUCCCUCGCGACCAGCCUGUGGCGUGGUUGGGGCUCCGGAAGGGCGCGCGCGAGCGCUUUUUUGGGAGGACACCACAGGUGGAUGCCUCAGCUGAUCGUCCUCCCUCCCGGGGACCCUGCCCCGAGUCGCCGAGUAGCCGCAGAGUCGCCUCCGUCGCCCCGCCGCCCCUGUGUUUCGGACAUGGCCGCGCGCCUUCUCCGAGGGUCCCUACGCGUCCUGGGCGGCCACCGUGCGCCGCGCCAGCUGCCCGCCGCGCGAUGUUCUCAUUCCGGAGGGGAAGAACGUCUAGAAACUCCUUCUGCUAAAAAAUUAACAGAUAUAGGAAUUCGAAGAAUCUUUUCUCCAGAGCAUGACAUUUUCCGGAAAAGUGUAAGGAAGUUUUUCCAAGAAGAAGUGAUUCCUUAUCACUCAGAAUGGGAGAAAGCUGGAGAAGUAAGUAGGGAGGUUUGGGAAAAAGCUGGAAAACAAGGACUGCUUGGUGUCAAUAUUGCAGAGCAUCUUGGUGGAAUUGGAGGGGAUCUGUACUCCGCAGCUAUUGUCUGGGAGGAGCAGUAAGUAUGGAGACUUUUAAGGUUGAGUCUUGUUUUGUAAACACACCACUCACCUUUCUGAAAUGACCAAACAAACAAACAAACAUUUCUAAUCUUGGAAGAUUGAAAAUUCAGUGUAAAAUGUAAAAGAUUAUACCGCUCAUGCACUCUUGCACAUUUUUUGAAUGUGGGAUAAUAAGAAAAUCCUUUUAAGUUGCUGAAAUAGGUGCUAUUGAAAAUUAAAGAGAUAGUUUUUUUUCCCGUCAAUGCUUAUGGUUACUUUUCCCCCUUAGAAAAGAUAUUUGAAAGAGAACAGCAGAGUAGAAAUAUACUUCCAUCAAAUAUAUUAGAAUUUUAAUAUACAAGAACAAAUAAAGAUUGCAGUUGAAAAAUGGGCAAAGAAUUUGAAGCAAUAAUUCAUCAAAAAAGAAAUGCAAAUAGGUUUUUUUAAAUGAGAAAAGUUCAUCCUUAGUAACAAUCAAAUGCAAAUUAAACUGAUCU